This 440-nucleotide ribosomal RNA is filed under the name uncultured bacterium. RNAcentral's name for it is "bacterial SSU rRNA". It matches the Rfam family "Bacterial small subunit ribosomal RNA", at positions 28 to 477 of the family's 1533-position model. The record is from RNAcentral.
GACGAACGCUGGCGGCGUGCUUAACACAUGCAAGUCGAACGCUGAAGCACCAGCUUGCUAGUGCGGAUGAGUGGCGAACGGGUGAGUAAUACGUGAGUAACCUGCCCUUGACUCUGGGAUAAGCCCGGGAAACUGGGUCUAAUACUGGAUGCUACGUCCCAUCGCAUGAUGGUUCGUGGAAAGGGACUACUGGUCUUGGAUGGGCUCACGGCCUAUCAGCUAGUUGGUGAGGUAAUGGCUCACCAAGGCGACGACGGGUAGCCGGCCUGAGAGGGUGACCGGCCACACUGGGACUGAGACACGGCCCAGACUCCUACGGGAGGCAGCAGUGGGGAAUAUUGCACAAUGGGCGCAAGCCUGAUGCAGCGACGCCGCGUGAGGGAUGACGGCCUUCGGGUUGUAAACCUCUUUCAGCAGGGAAGAAGCCACAAGUGACGGUA